RNAcentral lists this ribosomal RNA (490 nucleotides) under uncultured bacterium. RNAcentral's name for it is "partial 16S ribosomal RNA". It matches the Rfam family "Bacterial small subunit ribosomal RNA", at positions 30 to 507 of the family's 1533-position model. The record is from RNAcentral.
AUUGAACGCUGGCGGCAGGCCUAACACAUGCAAGUCGAACGGUAACAGGAAGCAGCUUGCUGCUUUGCUGACGAGUGGCGGACGGGUGAGUAAUGUCUGGGAAACUGCCUGAUGGAGGGGGAUAACUACUGGAAACGGUAGCUAAUACCGCAUAACGUCGCAAGACCAAAGAGGGGGACCUUAGGGCCUCUUGCCAUCGGAUGUGCCCAGAUGGGAUUAGCUAGUAGGUGGGGUAACGGCUCACCUAGGCGACGAUCCCUAGCUGGUCUGAGAGGAUGACCAGCCACACUGGAACUGAGACACGGUCCAGACUCCGACGGGAGGCAGCAGUGGGGAAUAUUGCACAAUGGGCGCAAGCCUGAUGCAGCCAUGCCGCGUGUAUGAAGAAGGCCUUCGGGUUGUAAAGUACUUUCAGCGGGGAGGAAGGGAGUAAAGUUAAUACCUUUGCUCAUUGACGUUACCCGCAGAAGAAGCACCGGCUAACUCCGUG